Molecule: long non-coding RNA, 1541 nt
Filed under: Equus asinus (donkey)
Lineage: Eukaryota; Metazoa; Chordata; Mammalia; Perissodactyla; Equidae
Description: lncRNA (ENSEASG00005038310.1)
Source: RNAcentral
CUGAACCAGUGAACCCUGGGCCACUGGAGCAGAGUGUGUCAACUUAACCUCUGCACAACUGGGUUGGCCCCCAGUUAAUGUAUUUUAAGUGUCAAUUUCCUAUCCAUUUGACAAGUGAGAAGAUGCUGAUUUAUUUUCUCCCCUUCUGUAGAUGGGAAAAUAGAAGGUAUUCAGGCUGAGAUGGUAUGACGCUGAAGGCUUGAUCAACUUCUUCAAAGAUCGUUUGCAAUCUUCCAUUGUAAUUUUGACUAAUUUUUCAUGUGUGGUUUGUGAAAUCAGAGGAGUGAUUGUUGCCAGGAUAUGUUAUAACAUGUUUCAGCUAGCCACAACCAUGCUUCAAGGCUGCCAGCUAAAUUUGUGAGUAGAUGAGAACAGAAUUAUUUCUUUUUUCAUCAUAAAAAUGAGUGACCAUUAUUGAGAGCAAAGAAUUCAUAUUAAACUUUGUGUAGAGUUAAGUAAAUCUGCAAGUGAGACACUUGAAAAGUUAAAAGUAGCUUAUGGUGAAGAAAUAAUGUCAAGAGCAAGAGUUUUUGACUGGCAUAGAAGGUUUAAAGAAGGUGGAAAUGAUAUCCACGAUGAUGCUCGAAGUGGCCGGCCAGUCACCCACGGCACACAUGAAAACAUUGAGAGGGUCAGAAAUUUGGUUUGCUCAGAUAGCCGCAUAAUGGUAAGAAAAAUGGCUGAAAAGUUAAAUUUAGACGAAGAAACAGACUCAUUCUGAAAGAAAACUUGCGGAAAGUUUCUGGCGAGAAUAUGUCUCCUACUAUUGUGGUUGAUGAUCCUGUAGAGGUUAAACCAAAAGAGAGCUGCGCAGGAACCUGCCUCUGGGGUGCAUAUCCAGGGCACAAUCCAACAGUUUUGUUUCAUUGGUCUUGGAGAAACUUCAGGCUGAAUCUAAAAUGAGCUGGGCUUCUUCAACCAUUUUCCUUCAGCUUUGUAGGUACGUGAUUUAAGCAGAGUGGAAGCUGCAGAGCUGAGUGUGACAAAGGAGAGAGCAUGGAGCUGGAAGUUUAUUAGGAGGAAUCUAGCAAACUGUUACCUCAGAAGGAGAGACUCAACAUGGAAGCAUUUCUACUUUAUUUCUUCACGGAUGAAGCUACAAUCGCUCAGUAUUGGUAUUGUUGCAAGCUAGAUACACCACAACUACAGCACGCGGGACUGAAGUCAGAGCCCUGUGGCAGUGACCCUGAGAAGACUGGUUUCAUUAGUUAUACCAUUACUUUUUCUUUUUUAAAGCCUCCCAGAAAUUCAAGUUUACAUUUCAUGGAACAUGAGCCAAAACUAAUUGAGGUUGUUUAUGGAAAAAUCAUCUCAUUUUAAUGGUCUGUACCUCUGGGACACUGCUGGCCAAAGCUGUAUGGCCCACAAGGCAAAAAUUAUGAUAAUUAGACUGUUUUUCCUAUUGUCUUAUUUCCAUGACUGAAUUUUUAUGUGAACUUUGGAUGGUGUUUUGUACUGUGUAAUGAAAUUUAUUACAAGUAUAUGUACAUGACAUUCCAGUAAACCAUAAAUUGAUUUCUUACUAGUUUUGAUAAUCUGUG